CCUACGGGAGGCAGCAGUGAGGAAUAUUGGUCAAUGGCCGGAAGGCUGAACCAGCCAAGCCGCGUGAAGGACGAAGGUGCCAAGCAUUGUAAACUUCUUUUGUCAGGGGACAAAAUCAGGCUCGAGAGCCUGACCGAGGGUACUUGAAGAAAAAGCAUAGGCUAACUCCGGGCCAGCAGCCGCGGUAAUACGUGGGAUGCGAGCGUUAUCCGUAUUGAUUGGGUUUAAAGGGUGCGUAGGCGGACUGUUAAGUCAGCGGUAAAAGCCCGGGGCUCAACCCCGGCUAGCCUUUGAAACUGGCUGUCUUGAGAUGUCGAGAGGUAUGCGGAAUGCGCAGUGUAGCGGUGAAAUGCUUAGAUAUUGCGCAGAACUCCGAUGGCGAAGGCAGCAUACCGGCGGCGAUCUGACGCUGAGGCACGAAAGCGUGGGUAUCGAACAGGAUUAGAUACCCUUGUAGUC
Molecule: ribosomal RNA, 459 nt
Filed under: uncultured bacterium
Lineage: Bacteria
Description: partial 16S ribosomal RNA
Rfam family: Bacterial small subunit ribosomal RNA
Source: RNAcentral